AUGUUAAGCCGCACCAGGAGCACCAGGCCGGUAUUGCUUUGCGGUUCAUGGUUAUCUCUGUUUGCUUAUCUAGGCUCUUUCCCCCGGAAGAAUCUCAGACUCCAGUACACCUCUGUAAACUCCCCAGUCUCCAGAAGGGCCUCUACACCUGCAGAAUGUCACCCCUUUUCUGAAUUUUUCUCCUUUCACAUAAUUUUCCAGGAAUGCCUGCACUCUCCAGAUUCAGGAAUCUUGCUUGCUAGUUUAGCAGGGAUCCAUGAAGAUCUGCUCAGUCUUCAAUAUCUCACUCGGUGCAACGAUCUCUUCAUGAACACCCAUUUCACACUUCAGUUCUAUCCUCCGAAUUCCGGCACUGAAACUCCUUCCUGA
RNAcentral lists this ribosomal RNA (369 nucleotides) under Triticum aestivum (bread wheat). RNAcentral describes it as "partial small subunit ribosomal RNA". The record is from RNAcentral. Lineage: Eukaryota; Viridiplantae; Streptophyta; Magnoliopsida; Poales; Poaceae.